CGCCUCUUGAUAAUAAGCACGAGAGGUUGGGCCUGCCGGUGAAUAACUAUUUAAACGGCCGCAGUGAAUAACUGUGCUAAGGUAGCGUAAUAAAUUGUCUCUUAAUUGGAGAAGGGUAUGAAUGGUUUGACGUGGUAGUUUCUGUCUCAAUAAUAGUAUUGCGAAAUUUUCAUUUGAGUUAAAAGUCUUAAAUAUAGAUAAAAGACGAGAAGACCCUGUCGAGCUUAAUAAAAUUAUGUAAAGAUUUCAUAUAAUAAAUUUAACUGGGGCAGUUGAGAACCAAAAAAUAGUUCUUUAUUAUUUGAAGAUCCGGUUUUACCGAUCAUAAGAAAAAGCUACCGCAGGAGUAACAGCGUUAUCCUUUCUAAGAGAACUAAUUGAAGAAAGGGUUUGCGACCUCGAUGUUGGGAUUAAAGUUUCUUUUGGGUGCAGCAGUAAAAUAGUAGGACUGUUCGUCCUUUAAAACUUU
Molecule: ribosomal RNA, 469 nt
Filed under: Ensis arcuatus
Lineage: Eukaryota; Metazoa; Mollusca; Bivalvia; Adapedonta; Pharidae
Description: partial 16S ribosomal RNA
Rfam family: Bacterial large subunit ribosomal RNA
Source: RNAcentral